CGAUAAUGUGUUAUUGUAAUUGAGUUUUCGUUAUCACUUAUGGUUGUGUUACCACACAUUAAUUAUAUUUAACCACUUUGAUAACGGGAAUAUGGCCGAUGGGGGAGGAGCUAUUGCCCUUUCAGCCCCCCUCUCUUGGCUACGCGACUGUAAAAAUCUUACACUCCUUUUUAAAAAUCCUGGUUGCGUCAUUGUACUUACAACCUAUAGGAAAUCUAGAUGUAUGUCAAAUCUGGUAUA
Cinara cedri is the source of this 240-nucleotide non-coding RNA. The record is from the annotation of a GenBank genome assembly. NCBI's taxonomy places the organism in Eukaryota, Metazoa, Arthropoda, Insecta, Hemiptera, Aphididae.